This is a long non-coding RNA of Ruditapes philippinarum (Manila clam), 575 nucleotides long. RefSeq lists it as uncharacterized. NCBI's taxonomy places the organism in Eukaryota, Metazoa, Mollusca, Bivalvia, Venerida, Veneridae. The record is from RefSeq and is a predicted model, not a curated record. The transcript has 3 exons.
UUUAUAAGCAUUGACACUUAAGGGAUAUUGCCAUUUGGAUAGCACACACCCUGGCGGUCUAGUAAAAGGAUACAAGAAGAAAAUGAAGCCGUAUUUCAUAAAAAUUUGUUUUGUUAUUCUCUUAUUAUCAAGUUUUGCAUCUACUUUGGUUUCGUCGGCAAUUUGGCAAAGGAUUGAUCCAAAACAUCCGAAGGCCGUUACAUCAAAAUAACUUAUUGCACAAGCACUUGGUAGACGUCCUAUAAAAUGUAUUCUUGCCCUUGAAAGGGUUGACCCAGCCACUAAUACAGAGGAAUUUCGAAUUAGAUUCGAAGCUGUUCGGAUUGUUAACCCAAGUAUAGUGGAAAUAUGCCAAGGUGAUGUAAUAUGGUAUAAUUGGGGCGAAAAGAAAGUUCAUACUCAUGGCUGUUGGCCUAAAUAAACAGGACUGUCUAAAACUACAUCAUCAUAAACAGUAUGCCGUUUUUUUACAAAUCAGUAUCUUCAGCAAACACAUACAAAUUUGAGUUUGACAAGUAGAUGCGCAAAAGUUUAUGCAAAAACUAAAAAAUAAAAUAAAUAAAUAGAUGCUCACA